AUUGAACGCUGGCGGCGUGCCUAAUACAUGCAAGUAGAACGAGUUGCGAACGGGUGAGUAACGCGUGGUAACCUGCCUCAUAGCGGGGGAUAACUAUUGGAAACGAUAGCUAAUACCGCAUACCAUCAGAUGUGCCCAGAUGGGAUUAGCUAGUAGGUGGGGUAACGGCUCACCUAGGCGACGAUCCCUAGCUGGUCUGAGAGGAUGACCAGCCACACUGGAACUGAGACACGGUCCAGACGCCUACGGGAGGCAGCAGUGGGGAAUAUGGCACAAUGGGCGCAAGCCUGAUGCAGCCAUGCCGCGUGUGUGAAGAAGGCCUUCGGGUUGUAAAGCACUUUCAGCGGGGAGGCGUUACCCGCAGAAGAAGCACCGGCUAACUCCGUGCCAGCAGCCGCGGUAAUAC
Molecule: ribosomal RNA, 406 nt
Filed under: uncultured bacterium
Lineage: Bacteria
Description: partial 16S ribosomal RNA
Rfam family: Bacterial small subunit ribosomal RNA
Source: RNAcentral